Molecule: long non-coding RNA, 1372 nt
Organism: Eriocheir sinensis (Chinese mitten crab)
Lineage: Eukaryota; Metazoa; Arthropoda; Malacostraca; Decapoda; Varunidae
Exons: 3
Source: RefSeq, a predicted model, not a curated record
GGUCCCGGUGUGAGUCGUGCAGGACAGGUGUUCCGGGCUUAAUUACCGUCUUCCGUGUUUUGUCCACCUUCGGAAUGGGCUUCUGCACACUUUCAGCUGCCGAGCCCAGGUGUUGCUGAGUGCCGGGUCUGGGGGCCACAUGGGGACUGCCGCAAGUAAGCCGUCGGGCCACGCCUCAACGGCAGGGCGCGAUGGGCCGAACCCCCACUGAGCCUUUAAUGUGACCCUCUGGCCGGCACUCCGCCAUCACCACCACUACUACAGCUACUACACGGCUACAAUUACCGCUCCUGCUGCUCCUGUUGCUGCUACUACUGCGGUAAUCCUCGACACACCGCUCGCUGCCCGGGACAACACAACCUUCCGCCGCUUACAUCCAAUACCGCCACUACAACGACCAUCGGCCCUAGCUACGGGAAAGAAAUGGCUGGCAAAGGAAACAAACACCUGGCGAGGAAACAAACACCCUUGCACCUUGAAAUAGUUCCCUGCACGGCGGCGCCCAAACCUCGGAUACCCGGUGAAGGGAAACGGUUGUAAAUAGCGGCACUCCACUCUUGGGUGGCGUAAAAAGAGAAACAUACAAGGUAGUUAAUUAUCCAGUACCGCUUUCCAUUAUUACCUAAGGAACAAACGGGAGAGAGAGGGAGAAGGAGAGAGGUAGGUAGAGCAAGAGAGGGAGAGAGAGAGAGAGAUAUACACGACAGGCUAGCAGACAGAACCUUAUUUGACUUAGCGGAACAAAGGGCAAUGCAGGGUCCACGAACUUCCCGCCUCCUCCUCCUGUGAAGUUAGCACAAUGCCGCGGCCCAACCCCGGGAGUGGCUUGGAUUCGGCCUCGGUAUCUAAUGCGGCGACGGAGUUGGGCACGAGUUUGACAGGAAUUGUGUGCGGUUCGUUGCUUCCUCCUUCUUGCGAGUGGACGAGAUGGUAAUGGCGGCGAGCAAGGAGGGAAAAUGAAGGGGAAAGAUGGAGGAAGAAGAGGAGGAAGAGGACGAGGAUGAGGCGGGAGAUGAGGUUGAGGAGUAUGAAGAGAAGGAAAAAGGAAAUGAUGAAGAAAAAUAUGAAGAUAAAGACCAAUAAAGAGGCGUAUGGAGAUGAAAACGCAGAAGUGGGUGGCACGGGGAUCAUGAGGUACGGAAGAAAGGAAGAUGAAGACGAAUGAAAACAAGAGCGAAAGAAAGGCAAGGAGCGUGUUGAUAGUAAAGGCAAAAAUCUAGAAGUACGUAAGAAGGAGAAAGGACAAAAAAGAAGGAAAAGAAGGAAAACCAAAUAAAUAUUGAGUACGGUGGUGACGGAACGGGGAAAAAAAUGGGCGGUGUUUGUGUGUGAGUGAAUGAGAGUUGAUGGCGUCGAGUUCUAUGAAAAUUUA